CCUACGGGAGGCUGCAGUGGGGAAUAUUGGACAAUGGGGGCAACCCUGAUCCAGCCAUGCCGCGUGUGUGAAGAAGGCCCUCGGGUUGUAAAGCACUUUCAGUGAGGAAGAACGCCUGGUGGUUAAUACCCAUCAGGAAAGACAUCACUCACAGAAGAAGCACCGGCUAACUCCGUGCCAGCAGCCGCGGUAAUACGGAGGGUGCGAGCGUUAAUCGGAAUUACUGGGCGUAAAGCGCGCGUAGGUGGCUUGAUAAGCCGGUUGUGAAAGCCCCGGGCUCAACCUGGAAACGGCAUCCGGAACUGUCAAGCUAGAGUGCAGGAGAGGAAGGUAGAAUUCCCGGUGUAGCGGUGAAAUGCGUAGAGAUCGGGAGGAAUACCAGUGGCGAAGGCGGCCUUCCGGACUGACACUGACACUGAGGUGCGAAAGCGUGGGUAGCAAACAGGAUUAGAUACCCUAGUAGUC
RNAcentral lists this ribosomal RNA (465 nucleotides) under Vreelandella stevensii. RNAcentral describes it as "partial 16S ribosomal RNA". It matches the Rfam family "Bacterial small subunit ribosomal RNA", at positions 338 to 795 of the family's 1533-position model. Lineage: Bacteria; Pseudomonadati; Pseudomonadota; Gammaproteobacteria; Oceanospirillales; Halomonadaceae. The record is from RNAcentral.